This 450-nucleotide ribosomal RNA is filed under the name Triticum aestivum (bread wheat). Its description in RNAcentral is "partial small subunit ribosomal RNA". Lineage: Eukaryota; Viridiplantae; Streptophyta; Magnoliopsida; Poales; Poaceae. The record is from RNAcentral.
AUGUUAUGGUCGUGUCGUGCUCGCUCCCUGCCCGCCAGGCCCGACUCGUUGUCGUGGCCGCGCCAAGCUCCCUGCCCGCCAGGCCCGACUCGUUGUCGUGGCCGCGCCAAGCUCCCUGCCCUGGCCAUGCCCGGCUCCCUGCCGUGGUCGCGCCGCGCCCGCUCACUGUCGUGGCCGCGCCGCACGGGCGCGCGCUUUCGCCAUCAGUCGCGCCACGCUCAGCUCACUGUCAUGGCUGCACCAAGCUCCAUGCCCUGGCUGGUGCGCCGCGGGUGUGAGGAGGAAGGGGACGAGGGGAUAAUGUCUUUUUUAGCAGCGAACGAGGGAAUUAAACACAAUAAGCGUCGCGUUAAGGACGCUCAUUCGCGUGGUACACCUGUCCGAUUUUACUGUGCAUGUUUUACUGUACCGAACGAAACAAGACUUGUUCAUGAUCGCUCGACUGGGUAG